UGGGGAAUAUUGGGCAAUGGGCGAAAGCCUGACCCAGCCACGCCGCGUGAGUGAUGAAGGCCUUCGGGUCGUAAAGCUCUGUGGGGAGGGACGAAUAAGCCUGUACCUAACACGUACGGGCCCUGACGGUACCUCCUUAGCAAGCACCGGCUAACCAUGUGCCAGCAGCCGCGGUAAUACAUGGGGUGCAAACGUUGCUCGGAAUUAUUGGGCGUAAAGCGCGCGUAGGCGGUCUUUUAAGUCGGAUGUGAAAGCCCUCGGCUCAACCGGGGAAGUGCAUCCGAAACUGAAAGGCUUGAGUACCAAAGAGGAUCGCGGAAUUCCCGGUGUAGAGGUGAAAUUCGUAGAUAUCGGGAGGAACACCGGUGGCGAAGGCGGCGAUCUGGGUGGAUACUGACGCUGAGGCGCGAAAGCGUGGGGAGCAAACAG
This 429-nucleotide ribosomal RNA is filed under the name uncultured bacterium. Its description in RNAcentral is "bacterial SSU rRNA". It matches the Rfam family "Bacterial small subunit ribosomal RNA", at positions 355 to 775 of the family's 1533-position model. The record is from RNAcentral.